CUCUUAUCAAGAGAGGCGGAGGGAAUAGGCCCUAUGAUGCCCGGCAACCAACAAGCGAUGCUUGGAAAGGUGCUAAAUCCUACAGAUCCGGCAAGACGGGAUCUGGCAGAUGAGAG
This 116-nucleotide non-coding RNA is filed under the name Planococcus glaciei. Its description in RNAcentral is "Planomicrobium glaciei SAM-I sequence". It matches the Rfam family "SAM riboswitch aptamer (S box leader)". Rfam says of the family: The SAM riboswitch is found upstream of a number of genes which code for proteins involved in methionine or cysteine biosynthesis in Gram-positive bacteria. The SAM riboswitch acts at the level of transcription termination control. The record is from RNAcentral. Lineage: Bacteria; Bacillati; Bacillota; Bacilli; Caryophanales; Caryophanaceae.